RNAcentral lists this microRNA (21 nucleotides) under Gossypium raimondii (Peruvian cotton). Its description in RNAcentral is "gra-miR7484i". The record is from miRBase by way of RNAcentral. Lineage: Eukaryota; Viridiplantae; Streptophyta; Magnoliopsida; Malvales; Malvaceae.
UUUAACCGUAGAAAUGGAUGA